RNAcentral lists this long non-coding RNA (534 nucleotides) under Medicago truncatula (barrel medic). RNAcentral describes it as "lncRNA gene36845". Lineage: Eukaryota; Viridiplantae; Streptophyta; Magnoliopsida; Fabales; Fabaceae. The record is from RNAcentral.
GUUAAAUAUUCACAGAAUGAAAAAAUCUACCACUGCUUUCCUUAUAUUAGUUCUUGUUUACGACAAUUCUCAAUGAUACUGUGGCUACACAUAGAAGUCUUGUUACAGCAUUUGAUCCUUAUUUUGAGUGUGUCAACAAAUAUUCACAGAGACAAUGUAAUCCGAUUUUUCCAAUAGUUUGUUUCUUUACCUCUUUUUUGUGUGAUUGAUAUCCCAAAAUUACAGAUUUUUCAUUUACAUUUGAGUUAUGUUUUUCAAAAAAUUAAAAACUAAAUUUGAGUUAUGUAUUAAAUAAUUGUUCCAUAUUAUGAUUAUAAGCUGGUUGAAAUAAAAUUUCACAAGUGCUUUUUGUGAGAUGGAAGGAUUUAAUCCUAUAUCAUCAAAUUAUAAGUAUAUUAUUUCUGUCGUUGAUUAUAAGUAAAAAUUAAUCAUAGAUAGUUGAUGUAUUUAGUUCAAAAUUUGGAUAAAAUAUCAUCUUUCUUUGAUCCUAUUUUUGCUUAUAAUUAGAGGUGGAUGAACUAUUCUUUAAAUUUC